RNAcentral lists this ribosomal RNA (434 nucleotides) under uncultured bacterium. Its description in RNAcentral is "partial 16S ribosomal RNA". It matches the Rfam family "Bacterial small subunit ribosomal RNA", at positions 29 to 507 of the family's 1533-position model. The record is from RNAcentral.
AGCGAACGCUGGCGGCAGGCCUAACACAUGCAAGUCGAACGAACCCACCGGGAUUAGUGGCGGACGGGGGUGUCACACGUCGGAACGUGCAUUUAGGUAUGGAAUAACUCUGGGAAACUUGUGCUAAUACCGAAUGUGCCCUUCGGGGGCAAGAUUAAUCGUCGUUAGAGGGGCACGCGUCCGCUUAGCUAGUCGGUUGAGGUAAUGGCUCACCAGGGCGACCAUCAGUAGAUGGUCAGAGAGAAAGAUCAGACACAUCUGGACGGAGACACAGCCGAGACUCCUACGGGAGGCAGCAGUGGGGAAUCUUGCGCAAUGGGCGAAAGCCUGACGCAGCCAUGCCGCGUGAAUGAUGUUGUUCUUAGAAUUGUAAAGUUCUUUCACCCGGGACGAUAAUGACGGUACCCGAAGAAGAAGCCCCGGCUAACUUCGUG